RNAcentral lists this ribosomal RNA (634 nucleotides) under Pleurotus ostreatus (oyster mushroom). RNAcentral's name for it is "eukaryotic LSU rRNA". The stretch from base 241 to 394 matches the Rfam family "5.8S ribosomal RNA". Lineage: Eukaryota; Fungi; Basidiomycota; Agaricomycetes; Agaricales; Pleurotaceae. The record is from RNAcentral.
ACUGACUUGAUGAAUCUCUAUGGAGUGGUUGCUGGCCUCUAGGGGCAUGUGCACGCUUCAYUASUYUUUCAACCACCUGUUGAWCUUUUGAUAGAUCUGUGAAGUCGKCUCUCAAGUCGUCAGACUUGGUUGCUGGGAUUUAAACGUCUCGGUGUGACUACGCAGUCUAUUUACUUACACACCCCAAAUGUAUGUCUACGAAUGUCAUUUAAUGGGCCUUGUGCCUUUAAACCAUAAUACAACUUUCAACAACGGAUCUCUUGGCUCUCGCAUCGAUGAAGAACGCAGCGAAAUGCGAUAAGUAAUGUGAAUUGCAGAAUUCAGUGAAUCAUCGAAUCUUUGAACGCACCUUGCGCCCCUUGGUAUUCCGAGGGGCAUGCCUGUUUGAGUGUCAUUAAAUUCUCAAACUCACUUUGGUUUCUUUYYAAUUGUGAUGUUUGGAUUGUUGGGGGCUGCUGGCCUUGACAGGUCGGCUCCUCUUAAAUGCAUUAGCAGGACUUCUCAUUGCCUCUGCGCAUGAUGUGAUAAUUAUCACUCAUCAAUAGCACGCAUGAAUAGAGUCCAGCUCUCUAAUCGUCCGCAAGGACAAUUUGACAAUUUGACCUCAAAUCAGUAGGUUACCCGGGACUAAGAG